RNAcentral lists this ribosomal RNA (505 nucleotides) under uncultured bacterium. Its description in RNAcentral is "partial 16S ribosomal RNA". It matches the Rfam family "Bacterial small subunit ribosomal RNA", at positions 28 to 507 of the family's 1533-position model. The record is from RNAcentral.
GACGAACGCUGGCGGCGUGCCUAAUACAUGCAAGUAGAACGCACAGUUUAUACCAUAGCUUGCUACACCAUACACUGUGAGUUGCGAACGGGUGAGUAACGCGUAGGUAACCUGCCUGGUAGCGGGGGAUAACUAUUGGAAACGAUAGCUAAUACCGCAUAAUAUUGAUUAUUGCAUGAUAAUUGAUUGAAAGAUGCUAUUGCAUCACUACCAGAUGGACCUGCGUUGUAUUAGCUAGUAGGUGAGGUAACGGCUCACCUAGGCGACGAUACAUAGCCGACCUGAGAGGGUGAUCGGCCACACUGGGACUGAGACACGGCCCAGACUCCUACGGGAGGCAGCAGUAGGGAAUCUUCGGCAAUGGACGAAAGUCUGACCGAGCAACGCCGCGUGAGUGAAGAAGGUUUUCGGAUCGUAAAGCUCUGUUGUAAGAGAAGAACGGGUGUGAGAGUGGAAAGUUCACACUGUGACGGUAUCUGACCAGAAAGGGACGGCUAACUACGUG